GAUGAAGAACGCAGCGAAAUGCGAUAAGUAAUGUGAAUUGCAGAAUUCAGUGAAUCAUCGAAUCUUUGAACGCACAUUGCGCCCGCCAGUAUUCUGGCGGGCAUGCCUGUUCGAGCGUCAUUUCAACCCUCAGGUCCCCCUUUUCGGAGGGGGAGACACCCUGGUGUUGGGGGACGGCAUCCUGGCCCGCUGUCUCACAGUGUGCCACGCCGCCCCCGAAAUGAAUUGGCGGCCUCGUCGCGUGCCACCCCUGCGUAGUAGCACAACCUCGCAACGGGAGCCCGACGCGGCCACUGCCGUAAAACGCCCAACUUUUACCGAGUUGACCUCGAAUCAGGUAGGAAUACCCGCUGAACUUAAGCAUAUCAAUAAAGCGGAGGA
This 381-nucleotide unclassified non-coding RNA is filed under the name soil metagenome. RNAcentral's name for it is "partial contains 5.8S ribosomal RNA, internal transcribed spacer 2, and large subunit ribosomal RNA". The stretch from base 1 to 120 matches the Rfam family "5.8S ribosomal RNA", at positions 35 to 154 of the family's 154-position model. The record is from RNAcentral.